CGGGGCGUGGCUCAGACCGGCUAGAGCACUCGGUUCGGGACCGAGAGGUCGGCGGUUCAAAUCCGCCCGCCCCGACCA
This 78-nucleotide transfer RNA is filed under the name Anaerolineaceae bacterium. Its description in RNAcentral is "tRNA-Pro". It matches the Rfam family "tRNA". Rfam says of the family: Transfer RNA (tRNA) molecules are approximately 80 nucleotides in length. Their secondary structure includes four short double-helical elements and three loops (D, anti-codon, and T loops). Lineage: Bacteria; Bacillati; Chloroflexota; Anaerolineae; Anaerolineales; Anaerolineaceae. The record is from RNAcentral.